Molecule: ribosomal RNA, 456 nt
Filed under: uncultured bacterium
Lineage: Bacteria
Description: SSU rRNA
Rfam family: Bacterial small subunit ribosomal RNA
Source: RNAcentral
AGGAUAAACGCUGGCGGCGUGCCUAAUACAUGCAAGUCGAGCGGCAGCGCGGUCUUCGGACUGGCGGCGAGCGGCGGACGGCUGAGUAACACGUAGGAACGUACCCCAAAGUGAGGGAUAAGCACCAGAAAUGGUGUCUAAUACCGCAUGUGCUCUAAGGAGUAAAGCUUCGGCGCUUUGGGAACGGCCUACGCAUGAUUAGCUUGUUGGUGAGGUAAUGGCUCACCAAGGCGACGAUCAUUAGCUGGUCUGAGAGGAUGAUCAGCCAGACUGGGACUGAGAACGGCCCAGACUCCUACGGGAGGCAGCAGUAGGGAAUUUUCCACAAUGGGCGAAAGCCUGAUGGAGCAACGCCGCGUGCAGGAUGAAGGCCUUAGGGUUGUAAACUGCUUUUAUAUGUGAAGAUAUGACGGUAGCAUAUGAAUAAGGAUCGGCUAACUCCGUGCCAGCAGCCGC